RNAcentral lists this ribosomal RNA (540 nucleotides) under Decapterus punctatus (round scad). Its description in RNAcentral is "partial 16S ribosomal RNA". It matches the Rfam family "Bacterial large subunit ribosomal RNA", at positions 1804 to 2558 of the family's 2925-position model. Lineage: Eukaryota; Metazoa; Chordata; Actinopteri; Carangiformes; Carangidae. The record is from RNAcentral.
UUACCAAAAACAUCGCCUCUUGCAAGAAUAAGAGGUCCCGCCUGCCCAGUGACAAUAGUUCAACGGCCGCGGUAUUUUGACCGUGCGAAGGUAGCGUAAUCACUUGUCUUUUAAAUGAAGACCUGUAUGAAUGGCAUAACGAGGGCUUAACUGUCUCCUCUUUCCAGUCAAUGAAAUUGAUCUCCCCGUGCAGAAGCGGGGAUAGACACAUAAGACGAGAAGACCCUAUGGAGCUUUAGACACUAAGACAGAUCAUGUUAAACACCCCGGAACAACGGCCUAAACUUAAUGACCCCCUGUCCUAAUGUCUUCGGUUGGGGCGACCAUGGGGAAGCACAAAUCCCCCAUGUGGAAUAGGAGGACUCCCACAAGCAAGAGCCACAACUCUAGCUAACAGAACAUUUGACCUUACAUGAUCCGGCUUACGCCGAUCAACGGACCAAGUUACCCUAGGGAUAACAGCGCAAUCCCCUUUUAGAGCCCAUAUCGACAAGGGGGUUUACGACCUCGAUGUUGGAUCAGGACAUCCUAAUGGUGCAG